This 498-nucleotide ribosomal RNA is filed under the name uncultured bacterium. Its description in RNAcentral is "partial 16S ribosomal RNA". It matches the Rfam family "Bacterial small subunit ribosomal RNA", at positions 28 to 507 of the family's 1533-position model. The record is from RNAcentral.
GACGAACGCUGGCGGCGUGCCUAAUACAUGCAAGUCGAACGAGAGCGCCCGGUGCUUGCACUGGUCAAUCUAGUGGCGCACGGGUGAGUAACACGUGGGUAACCUGCCCAUCAGAGGGGGAUAACAUCCGGAAACGGAUGCUAAAACCGCAUAGGUCUUCGAGCCGCAUGGCUUGAAGAGGAAAAGAGGCGCAAGCUUCUGCUGUUGGGUGGACCCGCGGUGCAUUAGCUAGUUGGUGAGGUAACGGCUCACCAAGGCCGUGAUGCAUAGCCGACCUGAGAGGGUGAUCGGCCACAUUGGGACUGAGACACGGCCCAAACGCCUACGGGAGGCAGCAGUAGGGAAUCUUCCGCAAUGGACGCAAGUCUGACGGAGCAACGCCGCGUGAGUGAAGAAGGUGUUCGGAUCGUAAAACUCUGUUGUUAGAGAAGAACAAGUGCUAGAGUAACUGUUAGCGCCUUGACGGUAGCUAAUCAGAAAGCCACGGCUAACUACGUG